AACGAACGCUGGCGGCAUGCCUAACACAUGCGAGUCGAACGAGACCUUCGGGUCUAGUGGCGCACGGGUGCGUAACGCGUGGGAACCUGCCCUUAGGUUCGGAAUAACUCCCCGAAAGGGGUGCUAAUACCGGAUAAUGUCUUCGGACCAAAGAUUUAUCGCCUUUGGAUGGGCCCGCGUUGGAUUAGCUAGUUGGUAGGGUAAAAGCCUACCAAGGCGACGAUCCAUAGCUGGUCUGAGAGGAUGAUCAGCCACACUGGGACUGAGACACGGCCCAGACUCCUACGGGAGGCAGCAGUGGGGAAUAUUGGACAAUGGGCGAAAGGCUGAUCCAGCAAUGCCGCGUGAGUGAUGAAGGCCUUAGGGUUGUAAAGCUCUUUUACCCGGGAUGAUAAUGACAGUACCGGGAGAAUAGGCUCCGGCUAACUCCGUG
This 433-nucleotide ribosomal RNA is filed under the name uncultured bacterium. RNAcentral's name for it is "partial 16S ribosomal RNA". It matches the Rfam family "Bacterial small subunit ribosomal RNA", at positions 29 to 507 of the family's 1533-position model. The record is from RNAcentral.